GCUGCCACACGGGGCAGUGCAGAUACCAAACAUUUCCAUCAUCGCAGAAAGUUCUGCUGGACAGUGCUGCCCUGA
Ceratotherium simum simum (southern white rhinoceros) is the source of this 75-nucleotide non-coding RNA. NCBI's taxonomy places the organism in Eukaryota, Metazoa, Chordata, Mammalia, Perissodactyla, Rhinocerotidae. The record is from RefSeq and is a predicted model, not a curated record.